RNAcentral lists this transfer RNA (76 nucleotides) under Rhizoctonia solani AG-1 IB. RNAcentral describes it as "tRNA-Gln". The record is from RNAcentral. Lineage: Eukaryota; Fungi; Basidiomycota; Agaricomycetes; Cantharellales; Ceratobasidiaceae.
AAUUCCGGUAACGCCGGUUCGACUCCGGCUAGGGCCUGGCUCUAUAGUGUAGUGGUUAUCACCUCGGAUUCUGAGC